Molecule: non-coding RNA, 301 nt
Organism: Pelobates cultripes (western spadefoot toad)
Lineage: Eukaryota; Metazoa; Chordata; Amphibia; Anura; Pelobatidae
Source: the annotation of a GenBank genome assembly
CUUCCUUUUAGCUAUCUCAAGACUCUUAUUCCUCUACUUCUUUCCUCCCUUUUUUCUCAGCUAUUUCUCUGUUCUUCCCCACUUUGACUGACCUCUUAAUGUCGAUCAUCACAUUUGCUAGAACCUCAUACAUACCGUGAGGACAUACGGGUUGUGAAUUGACUUGGCAAUAGCAGAAUGCCAUUUCGGUGGUAGUGUAGUUUAGAUUGCAAUGCCUCACAACUACAAUAUAGCCAGUUCAUAGAAUUGGUCAGCCAAUUUAGGCAUGUUGUAUGGGAAAAAUGUUUGAUUUGGUCGGUUG